This 360-nucleotide ribosomal RNA is filed under the name uncultured bacterium. Its description in RNAcentral is "bacterial SSU rRNA". It matches the Rfam family "Bacterial small subunit ribosomal RNA", at positions 29 to 416 of the family's 1533-position model. The record is from RNAcentral.
AGCGAACGCUGGCGGCAGGCCUAAAACAUGCAAGUCGAACGCCCGUAGCAAUACGGGAGUGGCAGACGGGUGAGUAACACGUGGGAACGUACCCUUUGGUUCGGAACAACACAGGGAAACUUGUGCUAAUACCGGAUAAGCCCUUACGGGGAAAGAUUUAUCGCCAGAGGAUCGGCCCGCGUCUGAUUAGCUUGUUGGUGAGGUAACGGCUCACCAAGGCUACGAUCAGUAGCUGGCUGAGAGGAUGAUCAGCCACACUGGGACUGAGACACGGCCAGACUCCUACGGGAGGCAGCAGUGGGGAAUAUUGCGCAAUGGACGAAAGUCUGACGCAGCAACGCCGCGUGAGGGAUGACGGCC